UACAGAGGUGGCAAGCGUUGUUCGGAAUUACUGGGCGUAAAGGGCGCGUAGGCGGCCCGUCAAGUCCCGUGUGAAAGCCCCCGGCUCAACCGGGGAACGGCGCGGGAAACUAGCAGGCUUGAGUUCGGGAGAGGGAAGCGGAAUUCCGGGUGUAGCGGUGAAAUGCGCAGAUAUCCGGAGGAACACCGGUGGCGAAGGCGGGUCUCUGGGCCGAUACUGACGCUGAGGAGCGAAAGCGUGGGGAGCGAACAGG
This 253-nucleotide ribosomal RNA is filed under the name uncultured bacterium. Its description in RNAcentral is "partial 16S ribosomal RNA". It matches the Rfam family "Bacterial small subunit ribosomal RNA", at positions 524 to 776 of the family's 1533-position model. The record is from RNAcentral.